UGAUUCCCUUAGUAACGGCGAGCGAAGCGGGAAAAGCCCAGACCAAAAUCAGCAGGUUUUGGCCUGUCUGAUAUGUGGUCUUUGCGCCGGGGAUAUGCCAGCGGCGCCAACCUCUUCAAGUUUCUUGGAAAGGGGCCUCCCAGAGAGGGUGCUAGGCCUGUAGGUGGGGGGUUGGCUCGUUGGCGCUUCCACGGCCUUAGAGUCGGGUUGUUUGGGAAUGCAGCCCUAAGACGGUGGUAUGCUCCAUCUAAGGCUAAAUACUAGCACGAGUCCGAUAGCGAACAAGUACCGUGAGGGAAAGUU
This 303-nucleotide ribosomal RNA is filed under the name Lagis bocki. RNAcentral's name for it is "partial large subunit ribosomal RNA". It matches the Rfam family "Eukaryotic large subunit ribosomal RNA", at positions 72 to 365 of the family's 3401-position model. The record is from RNAcentral. Lineage: Eukaryota; Metazoa; Annelida; Polychaeta; Terebellida; Pectinariidae.